This 311-nucleotide ribosomal RNA is filed under the name uncultured marine bacterium pM-101. Its description in RNAcentral is "bacterial SSU rRNA". It matches the Rfam family "Bacterial small subunit ribosomal RNA", at positions 1069 to 1382 of the family's 1533-position model. The record is from RNAcentral. Lineage: Bacteria; Pseudomonadati; Pseudomonadota.
GAGAUGUUGGGUUAAGUCCCGUAACGAGCGCAACCCUAUCCUUAUUUGCCGACACUACUAGGUGGAAGUAUAAGGAGACUGCCGGUGAUAAACCGGAGGAAGGCGGGGACGACGUCAAGUCAUCAUGGCCCUUACGACCAGGGCUACACACGUGCUACAAUGGGAAGGACAAAGAGCGCGAAGCCGCGAGGUGUAGCUAAUCUCAUAAACCUUUUCGUAGUCCGGAUUGGAGUCUGCAACUCGACUCCAUGAAGUCGGAAUCGCUAGUAAUCGUAGAUUAGAAUGCUACGGUGAAUACGUUCCCGGGUCUU